CAAAAACAACAGAAGAACAGUACAGUACUUCAUUCAUAAUUCAAAAAGUAGAUAUAGAGCUUUCAUUAAUAACAAUAAAUGUGUGGUUACCCUGUGUAUCAAAUACAGUACACUAUCUCAACAGGAUGUUCACAGUAAGGGAGGAGCCACAAACCCUUGCGGUGAGGUAUCAGAGCUGCAAGAAGUGCCAGUGCUGAAACAAAAUUCCUGAGGAAAACAGUGGUUCAUAUUUUGAGAAUUAUACACCAUCUUUAUUCCUGUGUACCACGUACAUCGGGUGAGGUGGCAUUUGCUCAAAGGAAAAAGAUCUGCAUCAGCAUACUGCUGGUAAAUCAUCUACUGUACAGCAAUGUCCCAUUGCUUCACAGGACAAGGCUAGUGGGAGUGGCAAGUGGAAGGAGAGAAUACUGGUGGGGAGUUAGCACCUGAUGACGAGCGCGACGCGGCUGGUGUCUGGUCCCUCCAGCUCGUUAAGCAGGCCUACACAGCAGACUGGAGCGUGGCUAGGCCUACACAGCAGAAUGGAGCGUGGCUAGGCCUACACAGCAGAAUGGAGCGUGGCUAGGCCUACACAGCAGACUGGAGCGUGGCUAGGCCUACACAGCAGACUGGAGCGUGGCUAGGCCUACACAGCAGAAUGGAGCGUGGCUAGGCCUACACAGCAGACUGGAGUGCGGGCAUCUUCAUGCACUUCACAAGCAUUCCUUAACGCUCACUCCCCUCAAGCAGGGAUGGGGGGUGGGGAGGGAUCACAAACAGAGGGGCCAAGGGAGGAAUUUUCCAGUGCCACGACGAGAGACUCAAGCAGUGCCAUAUGAUAACCAAGUACAGUAGUGUCAAUGAGAGAGAACCUAGCAGGGCCAAUGGGAAAAAGCAGUGCCAAUGCAAGAUAAUCAAGGUGUACCAAUUUGACCUUGGUACACCUUGAUUAACUGUAACAAAUCAAACAGCGCCAAUGUUAAAAAAGUGUGAAGAGGAAACAAUAAAAAAAGUGCCAAUAUGAGACAGUGCUAGGAUGAGAUAAUCAUGUAAUGCCAAGAUAUAAUAAUCAGUGCCAAGAGGGGAUAAUCAUGUAAUGCUAAUAUAUAAUUAUAUAUUAUAUAAUAUUAUAUAUUAUAAUAUUGCAAUAUAUAAUAAGCAGUGUCAGGUUUAGACAGUCAAGCAGUGCCAUGAUGGGGUAAUCAAGCAGUGCCAAUAAUCAAGCUAUGUAAUGAUGAGAUAAUCAGUGUAAAAAUUAGAUAAGCAGUGCCAAGAUGGCAUAAUUAAGCAGUGCCAAAAUGAGAUAAUGUCAAGAUGAAGUAAAAAACAGUGUCAGGAUGAGAUAAUCAGUGCCAAGAUAAUUAAACAAUGCAGUAUAAUAAACAAGUGCCAGAGUGAGAUAAUUAAGGAGUGCCAAGAUUAGAGAAUUAAAGUGCUAAAGAUGAUCUCAUUGGGACAAGAAGCCAGCAUAAUUAUGAAAGCACCCCCCCUCCCCCCAGGCCAUCUACUGACCUUUCCCAGGAUGCAAUCCACAACAGUUGCCUAACUCCUGGGUUCCUAUAUACUGCUAGUUGAACAGAGACAUCAGGUGUAAGGAAAAGUCUCUACUGAAAAUUAAACAGGGGACCUUUCAACUGUGAACUGACUGUACUGACCAGGAGAUAAUAUUGCAACCUGUUGUACAAAAAGUACCUAUAGUUACUAAGGGUGGAAGUACAGUACAAAAUAUGAACUGUUGCACCCAAAGAGUCACAUUUUGUAGCAUUUUACAGUAUUCAUUUUGUAGAAGGCCCAAGAGAUGGGACCAAUCACAUUUAACUUUACCUAGGCCUAGUAUAGUACAUGAUGUACUAAAUUGCGCCUAAGAUUGCAAGUCAGGCUCAGCAUUGCUUAUUUAGAUCUUUGCAGGUUGUUUAGGUUUAUUCUGUUCCAGUUUGGUUUGCUCUUUAGUAUUCCAAAACUAACUUUUUAGGAUUAACGUAAUCCAUAUUUUGUACAUUCCGUCCACUGAAACUAUAAGUCCUAUAAAUUUUGUAGGUUGGGAUGUAAUAUAGCAGUGCUAGGAGAUAAUAUAGCAGUGCCAGGAAGUAAUAUAGCAGUGCCAGGAGAUAAUAUAGCAGUGCUAGGAAGUAAUAUAGCAGUGCCAGGAAGUAAUAUAGCAGAACCAGGAGAUAAUAAACAUCAGAGGGAAAGAAAUGAGUAUCAUAGGUAGGAAUCAAUAAAAAAUGAAAUCAUGCACCAGAAGAGAAGAAAAUAGUAGAGAAAUUAAUGCAAGGAAGAUAAGCAAUUGUAGUGCCAUUUAAAGCAAUGGUUCUCAAUAUGGGGCCAUGUCCCCAGGGUCUGUGGGGACUUUAAUGUGUGUGCUCCAAGGUGUGUCUAGUCUGUACAUGUUUCAAAGUUGCUUGACUGAUUAAAAACAACUUUGGAAUACACACACACACAUUAGAGAGAGCACCAAGAGGCCAUAAGGCCCACAUUGAAACUUUAAAUUAAUCAUUGCUAGGAAUAAAGAGUGAAGGGAAUGUGAACUGAUGCCCUAAGAGAAACUGGUGCCCAGAGAGAAUCUGGUGCCCAAAGAGAAACUGGUGCCCGAUAGAGAAAUGCUGGUGGUUACGAAGUUGUACUGGGGACCAACCUGCUAGAUGGGAGAAAAACUGGUGUCAAGAAAUACUGAUCAGGGGGAAGUAGCUGGUGUCCUGGGGAGAAACUUGUGUCAGAGUUGAUAUACCAAUGUCUGUUGGGGAGGAGGAAUCAUCAUCAUCAGGAAAAAGCCAUCCAAAUGCCAAUAAACCCGCUAAAAUGAGAUGGAAAAACUAGUGAAGUCUUGAGAUGAACAAUUUGUCUCUUCAAAAUCAAGAUGAACAUAAUCUAUCUAGUUGAUUCUUCAGUGCUGGAGGAUACUAUCCUGGUUGCAGUCAUGGGGCAGUGGUCCCAAGUCUUCCAGAAGCGAUGCAGUUGCUGCUUAUCUUGAAGUGAAAGUGAAGGCGAGGUCAGGUUAAACAUGUAUCUCGUUAUAAAUGCCUGCCAAAGAAUGUUGAACUAGUUAACUGAUGAGAGUUGAGACUUUCCCAAUACUAUGGGAAAAUUCAUUCUGACCAUGUUGAGAUUUCAAGGUCAGAAAGCACAUCUACAAGAUGGUAGAUGCAUCGGUCAUUGUGCCUAUAGCAUGGCAUGCACAAGCUUUUGCAAGUAAAUUCAUUCAAAAGAAUGAGUUACAAACCGCAAGCAUCCCAGUGUAGAUACACCCAUACAAAAAAAAAUCCCAUGCUAGGUCCAGAAUCCUAGAUGAAUAGUAACCAAAUUCUGUGACAAUGUUACUCCAACCUAAUUUGUAGUGAAAUUUCAGUUCACAUUUUAAAUCAGUACGCAGAACCACCAUACAAUUAUAAGUUGCCAAAAAAAUUCAUCUAUAUCAAUGUGCUAUGGAAAUAUUAAAAAUGUAGAAAUUAGUCUACUACAGUGUAGGGGUAAUGUAUAUGUCAGUGUUAAAUUAUACAUUUGCUAUACUGUAUAGUAUAUUUCAUAUUUUUUACCUAUACAUGCACUAAAGAAGAUAGCUAGUUUUGCAAAAUUUUGGUUUGUAAAUACAGUUUAAUGAUUAAGGUGCAGGUCAAGCUCAGUACAUUCCAGGUCAUAUACAUUUGUGCCAUUUAACCACAUUACUGUAUAGCUUUUAUUCAAUAGGUAGUCACUGUCAAGAUGGCCUUUUACAUUUUGGUUAUACACAGGCACUGAAGGGCAGGCCGCAGGUCUGGCACUGAAGGACAGGUCACAGGUCUGGCACUAAAGGACAGGUCACAGGUCUGGCACUAAAGGACAGGUCACAGGUCUAGCACUAAAGGACAGGUCACAGGUCUAGCACUAAAGGACAGGUCACAGGUCUGGCACUAAAGGACAGGUCACAGGUCUGGCACUAAAGGACAGGUCACAGGUCUGGCACUAAAGGACAGGUCACAGGUCUGGCACUAAAGGACAGGUCACAGGUCUGGCACUAAAGGACAGGUCACAGGUCUGGCACUAAAGGACAGGUCACAGGUCUGGCACUAAAGGACAGGUCACAGGUCUGGCACUAAAGGACAGGUCACAGGUCUGGCACUAAAGAGCAAUACUGUAACACCCGGUUCUGUUCUUGCUUACUGUGGAGGGGAAUGAAUGUACAGUACAGUAUUUACUUUUAUUAAAAUUUAGUUUAUCAAAGAGAUUUUAUUAAUAUCUAUUAAUCAUUAUUGACAGAAAUUGCCACAGAAUGAAAGAGUGAAGAUUAAUACUUGAACUUUGGGUUCUAAUUUAAUUAUCAGCAAUCGAAGUAGAAAAAUGUACAUGGAUCCUAAAUAUAAACUUUUAGGCAAUUGGGAACAUCUCUGAACAAGGGGUAAGUGCACUUACAGUGAGUUGGCACGAGUAAUCACCUCUAACCAGGUCACUCAGGAGACCACAGAUAACACACUCACUAUGCUCUUCCUUCUUCAUUCCCUCUCCCUAUCUUUAUUUAUUUAUUUAUUUAUUUAUUUAAUAUUAUUAUACACACACACACACACUCACACCUUCUUGACUGGCUUGAUUUCCUUUUCCUCCCCCAUACAAGGUGACACAAGGUCACUGUUACACGAGCAGUUUUGUCCACACCUCAUUUUGCCCCUGCUCAUCAACUUCACACCUUAAGUCAAACUUUGGUCUUCAUAGUGUUUAUUUUUAUAGGGACAUGUGCCCCUCUGUUCCCAUCCAGUAUUCAGUUGUUUAAGCGUUCAGUAGUGAUCGUAUUACUGUUCUCUGUUCUACUUGUUACAGCAGGUCAGGCACUAAAGGACAAGUUGCAGGUGAGGUAUCAAAAACAGGUUGCAGGUCAGGCAACUCUCGCCACAGAAAGUCAAGACAAACAAGACUUAGGUCAGACACAAGCUAGACUAGAAAAAACAUGCACAUGAAGCAAAUUAUAAUGCAGUUGCUUGUUUAGGACAUACUACCUUUCUGGUUGUUUUCAUCUUGGCUUGGUUUAUCUAGUAUCCCCACACUCGCUUUGCAUUUAAUGAGUGGACCAGAUCCUGUAUCUGGUCUCCAAUAGGUGCUUAUGACUUAACAAAAUAAAGAGAGCCUGGUAGGAUUUAUUAGGCUUCGAACCUAGGUAGCUUGGGAAGCCAAUGAGAGAAGGCCUUCCAGAAAACUAGCACCUGCUGUACCUGCACUGCUGGCUUGGAUGAAAUCACAAAAAUUUCAAGAACUUUAAAUAUACCAAAAUAAAAUGUUAAAAUAUAAUAAUUUAAAAAUAAUUCCCAAUAUCUGGGACAAGAAGCCUGUAUGUUGGUUUUUAUCAAGGUCUCCCUAGGUCAAACUACUGACCUUCCUGGGAUGCAACCCAUAACAUUUGCCCAACACCUGGGUACCUAUUUACUGCUAAAUGAACACACAAAUCAGGUAAAAGGAACUGUUCCCAACCGUUUCUGUACCAACCAGGGAUCGAGCUCAAGCUCCCCAAGUCGAGAACAUAGACCACUGAACUACGUGACCUAGUACAGUACAAAAUACAAUAAAUAAUCUACAGUAUUUUGUUUACCAUGAACAUGAAAAUCUCGUUCAUUUAUUUUCAAAGGUAUAGGGGUUACAUUUUAUUAUAAAUUGAUUUUCAUUUUCUGGAGGAUAUUCAUUCUUAAGCUGUACAAAAACCACAGUAACACACACCUAUAAAGGUGCAUUAUGGGUAACAAUUAAUAAUUUUGGAGAUCAGUGCCACACCCACCCAAGGGUCAUUUAUAUGGACUUCCAUUUUCAGAUCAAUUGAAAACAUCACCAAUGUACAGUGACACACUAUGCUACCUUUACCUCGCCCAUUAACCCUUAAACUGCACAAAAUGUCAUAUGAUGUGUGACAGUGAACUCAGUUUUUAACAUUUUCUGAAACUUUCAAAUGUUUUGUGCAUAAUCUACUAGGCAAAUGCUCCAAUUUUGUCUAAAGGCUACCACUGUAACUUG
Procambarus clarkii (red swamp crayfish) is the source of this 5946-nucleotide long non-coding RNA. RefSeq lists it as uncharacterized. The record is from RefSeq and is a predicted model, not a curated record. Lineage: Eukaryota; Metazoa; Arthropoda; Malacostraca; Decapoda; Cambaridae.